Molecule: ribosomal RNA, 253 nt
Filed under: uncultured bacterium
Lineage: Bacteria
Description: partial 16S ribosomal RNA
Rfam family: Bacterial small subunit ribosomal RNA
Source: RNAcentral
UACGAAGGGUGCAAGCGUUAUUCGGAAUCACUGGGCGUAAAGGGUGCGUAGACGGUUUGUUAAGUUUGUCGUUAAAGACUCUAGCCUAACUGGAGGGUUGCGAUGAAAACUGGCGGACUAGAGGGUGAGAGAGAGAAGUGGAAUUCCUGGAGUAGCGGUAAAAUGCGCAGAUAUCAGGAGGAACACCGAUGGCGAAGGCAGGUCUCUGGGCCACUACUGACGCUGAGAAGCGAAAGCAUGGGGAGCGAACAGG